Molecule: unclassified non-coding RNA, 233 nt
Filed under: plant metagenome
Description: partial contains small subunit ribosomal RNA, internal transcribed spacer 1, and 5.8S ribosomal RNA
Source: RNAcentral
UUUCCGUAGGUGAACCUGCGGAAGGAUCAUUACUGAGUGAGGGCCCUCUGGGUCCAACCUCCCACCCGUGUUUAUUAUACCUUGUUGCUUCGGUGAGCCCGCCUCACGGCCGCCGGGGGGCAUCUGCCCCCGGGCCCGCCCCCACCGAAGACACCUAGAACUCUGUAUGAAGAUUGCAGUCUGAGCAAAAACUAAAUAAGUUAAAACUUUCAACAACGGAUCUCUUGGUUCCG